AUACAAACAAACCUUAGGUUUAUGUGUCCAAUAUUUGACCGUCCGUCUUAUUUGAAAAAAUUAUGGAAAAAAAUUAAAAAGACAAGUCACACAUAAAGUAUUAAUCAUGUUUUAUCAUCUAACAACAAUAAAAAUACUAAUUAUAAAAAAAUUUCAUAUAAGACAGACAGUUAAACGUUGAACACGGAAACCCAGGGUUUGUCUUUUU
Molecule: non-coding RNA, 208 nt
Organism: Oryza glumipatula
Lineage: Eukaryota; Viridiplantae; Streptophyta; Magnoliopsida; Poales; Poaceae
Source: Rfam